Molecule: ribosomal RNA, 468 nt
Filed under: uncultured bacterium
Lineage: Bacteria
Description: partial 16S ribosomal RNA
Rfam family: Bacterial small subunit ribosomal RNA
Source: RNAcentral
GACGAACGCUGGCGGCGUGCUUAACACAUGCAAGUCGAACGGAAAGACCCUGCUUUUGUGGGGUGCUCGAGUGGCGAUCGGGUGAGUAACACGUGAGUAACCUGCCCUUGACUUUGGGAUAACUUCAGGAAACUGGGGCUAAUACCGGAUAGGAGCUCCUGCUGCAUGGUGGGGGUUGGAAAGUUUCGGCGGUUGGGGAUGGACUCGCGGCUUAUCAGCUUGUUGGUGGGGUAGUGGCUUACCAAGGCUUUGACGGGUAGCCGGCCUGAGAGGGUGACCGGCCACAUUGGGACUGAGAUACGGCCCAGACUCCUACGGGAGGCAGCAGUGGGGAAUAUUGCACAAUGGGCGGAAGCCUGAUGCAGCAACGCCGCGUGCGGGAUGACGGCCUUCGGGUUGUAAACCGCUUUCGCCUGUGACGAAGCGUGAGUGACGGUAAUGGGUAAAGAAGCACCGGCUAACUACGUG